UGCGUAGGCGGUCCGCUAAGUUAGAUGUGAAAACUCUGGGCUCAACCCAGAGCCUGCAUCUAAUACUGACGGGCUAGAGUUCUGGAGGGGGUAGCGGAAUUCCUGGUGUAGCGGUGAAAUGCGUAGAUAUCAGGAGGAACACCGGUGGCGAAGGCGGCUACCUGGACAGAGUCUGACGCUGAGGCACGAAAGCUAGGGGAGGCAAACA
Molecule: ribosomal RNA, 208 nt
Filed under: uncultured bacterium
Lineage: Bacteria
Description: partial 16S ribosomal RNA
Rfam family: Bacterial small subunit ribosomal RNA
Source: RNAcentral